Molecule: unclassified non-coding RNA, 1287 nt
Filed under: Amphibalanus amphitrite
Lineage: Eukaryota; Metazoa; Arthropoda; Thecostraca; Balanomorpha; Balanidae
Description: protein IMPACT-like, transcript variant X4
Source: RNAcentral
CUUCUCACGUGUGGAUUGCUGUAUAAGUGGAAUGCGCUUUUGUAUAAAUAAACAAAACAAACAAUUUUGUUGCAGAUAUCUAGAGCUGGCAAAGAUCCUUUUACUGUCUGAAAAGCAAGGGCUGAUGGAUAACAUAUCUCUUCAGGCUGAUGAGGUGCAAGCACUCUCCUCCAUUUAUGAGCAAGAGUGGAAAGUGGUCAGUGAGUCUUCCAGAAUAUAUUCUGUCUCCAUUGUGCAUGGAGGCAAAAGCAUUACUCUUGAGAUGACACUGACCCCUGGCUACCCAUCCGAGUCGCCGCCGCAGUACGAGCUACUGGCGCCGUGGCUGCGCGGCGACCUCAGGAACACGCUGGCCGCCCACCUCGAUGGCAUUUACUGUGAUAACAUUGGUUCUAGCAUAUUGUACCUGUGGAUCGAGCGUGUUCGAGAGUUUCUGGAGGAGCUCCAAGAAACGGCGCCUGAUAUUGAGGAGAGUGUCUCCUCGGCGGCUGUGUCUCCCCCGCCCACCAUCGAGGCGGACCUGUCACCGUGCCCGGAGAUCAUCCAUGGCGAGUGUAUUGUGGACCGGAAGAGCGUGUUCCAGGCGCACUGUGCGCCCGUCGUCACCGUCCAACAGGUCCAUCAGGUGAUAGCCAGUCUCAAGGAGUGCAGGAAGAUUGCCUCGGCCACACACAACAUGUGGGCGUACCGCAUACAGGGCGCGGCCAGCGGCGCAUUCCUGCAGGACUGCGACGACGACGGCGAGACGCACGCCGGCGGACGGAUGCUGCACCUGCUGGAGAUUGUCGGCGUUCAGAACUGGGUGGUUGUGGUCACUCGAUGGUAUGGCGGCAUACAGCUGGGACCCGACCGAUUCCGGCAUAUCAAUAACGCCACACGAAACGUGCUGCAGCUCAGUGGCGCCAUCUCGCCGCCAGAUGAAAAGAAGAAACGCAAAACAUGACGACAGAUGGCAGAAUGAAGUGCACACUGCGUGCGCCGUGCAUCCAAUGACCUUAACUGUGAUUUGAGAGCUGACUUAUGUGGGGUGUUUUGUGCGUGUUUUGUACUGAAAUGUGAAAUAGUAUCCACGUGUUGGGUACGAGUUAUCUUUGCAUCUUUGUGGCACAUCGAUGGUUUUAAUCGUUUGAUAACGUGACAAACGCCGUCGACUACAUCAAAUAAUACCGUUUUUGUGUCCGUCAGCGCCGUGCAGUGCAAGGUUAUUGUGCAUGGUACAGAGGUGAACUGUCUGCCCCCAACGGAUAACGACGUGGUUCUGUGAAUAAACCAUACUGGAUCACGGAA